UGAGGAAUAUUGGUCAAUGGACGAGAGUCUGAACCAGCCAAGUAGCGUGAAGGAUGACUGCCCUAUGGGUUGUAAACUUCUUUUAUACGGGAAUAAAGUGAGGCACGUGUGCCUUUUGUAUGUACCGUAUGAAUAAGGAUCGGCUAACUCCGUGCCAGCAGCCGCGGUAAUACGGAGGAUCCGAGCGUUAUCCGGAUUUAUUGGGUUUAAAGGGAGCGUAGGCGGACGCUUAAGUCAGUUGUGAAAGUUUGCGGCUCAACCGUAAAAUUGCAGUUGAUACUGGGUGUCUUGAGUACAGUAGAGGCAGGCGGAAUUCGUGGUGUAGCGGUGAAAUGCUUAGAUAUCACGAAGAACUCCGAUUGCGAAGGCAGCCUGCUGGACUGUAACUGACGCUGAUGCUCGAAAGUGUGGGGUAUCAAACAGGAUUAGAUACC
This 434-nucleotide ribosomal RNA is filed under the name uncultured bacterium. Its description in RNAcentral is "bacterial SSU rRNA". It matches the Rfam family "Bacterial small subunit ribosomal RNA", at positions 355 to 786 of the family's 1533-position model. The record is from RNAcentral.